RNAcentral lists this ribosomal RNA (425 nucleotides) under uncultured bacterium. RNAcentral's name for it is "bacterial SSU rRNA". It matches the Rfam family "Bacterial small subunit ribosomal RNA", at positions 356 to 771 of the family's 1533-position model. The record is from RNAcentral.
CGAGAGGCUUCCGCAAUGGGGGAAACCUUGACGGAGCGACGCCGCGUGCGGGAUGAAGGCUUUCGGGUUGUAAACCGCUUUCAGGUGGGAAGAAAUGCCGGCGAGUGAAUAAUUCUCCGGCCUCGCCGGUACCACCAGAAGAAGCUCCGGCUAACUCCGUGCCAGCAGCCGCGGUAAAACGGGGGGGGCGAGCGUUGUUCGGAAUUACUGGGCGUAAAGGGCGCGUAGGCGGCCUGAGAAGUUCUGGGUGAAAGUCCUCGGCUCAACCGGGGAAUUGCCUGGAAAACCAUCGGGCUGGAGUGCUGGAGAGGCCGGCGGAAUUCCUGGUGUAGCGGUGAAAUGCGUAGAUAUCAGGAGGAACACCCGAGGCGAAGGCGGCCGGCUGGACAGACACUGACGCUGAGGCGCGAAAGCCAGGGGAGCAA